CGCUGCCAUGCGUGCCGGCAUCCCUUCUUAUGCGUGUGUACAUAUCUAUGUGAUCCCCUCUCUCCCUCUUCAGCUUUUCGUUUCUUUCUCUCUUUUCUUUUAGCGUCUUUUCCGAUGUGCCCUUCUUUACUAUGUGUGUGUGUAUCUGCUUGGGCCAUACUGCACCCCCGGCCAGCACAGCGCGAACGAAGAGCUGCACACACACACACAUGCGCUUGUAUGAGCGGCAGCGACCUUCCCCCCCCCCCGCCUGACCUCUUCUCCCUCUUUCGGUCUCCCGCUAAUACACUAUCGAUAUGCAGGGCGAGAGACAACGGUGGAGACAGAGCUGCCGUGCGACGGAUAACACGAAGCUCUCGGUAAAAGCGCACACAGUUUGGGUAACCGAACGUGUGCACGUGUGUCGUAUCCUCGCGUGAACCAGAGCAAGUGCGCACGUGACUGUGUCGGCUUUCCAUCCCGUGUGCCUGCUGUGGGAUGAAAGAGAGGAAAGCACUCUUUUUCUCCGUACUAAAGCCGACAGCGCGCUCUGUCGAACCUCGCUCUCUCUCUUUCAGUGUUGUCGCCACAUCUUCAUCCGCCCCACCCACCCACCCCGCCCAUCCCCCAUGUGUGCAUGUGUUUGUGUGUGUAGGGGGUAGAGCUCGUAUCGCUGCUUGCGUUGGAUCCUUCUUAGCCGCGCCUGCUCUUACGGUUGUUGAUCAUCUCCCUCUUCUUCCUCGUAUCCUUUUGUCUUGCCAAG
This 742-nucleotide unclassified non-coding RNA is filed under the name Leishmania donovani. Its description in RNAcentral is "gene:unknown". Lineage: Eukaryota; Euglenozoa; Kinetoplastea; Trypanosomatida; Trypanosomatidae. The record is from RNAcentral.